CUGCCGCCGGCGACCGGCGCACGGGUGAGUAACACGUAUGCAACCUGGCCGUGACAGAUGGAUAACCGGGAGAAAUCCCGCCUAAUACAACAUAAUGCCGGGAGGGGACACUCCCCUGCCGGCCAAAGGGGGCGACCCCGGUCACGGAUGGGCAUGCGGCGCAUUAGGUAGUUGGUGGGGCAACGGCCCACCAAGCCGACGAUGCGUAGGGGUUCUGAGAGGAAGGUCCCCCACAUUGGAACUGAGACACGGUCCAAACUCCUACGGAAGGCAGCAG
RNAcentral lists this ribosomal RNA (277 nucleotides) under uncultured bacterium. RNAcentral describes it as "partial 16S ribosomal RNA". It matches the Rfam family "Bacterial small subunit ribosomal RNA", at positions 82 to 354 of the family's 1533-position model. The record is from RNAcentral.